UACGGGGGGGGUAAGCGUUGUUCGGAAUUACUGGGCGUAAAGGGCUCGUAGGCGGCCAACUAAGUCAGACGUGAAAUCCCUCAGCUUAACUGGGGAACUGCGUCUGAUACUGGAUGGCUUGGAUUUGGGAGAGGGAUGCGGAAUUCCUGGUGUAGCGGUGAAAUGCGUAGAUAUCAGGAGGAACACCGGUGGCGAAGGCGGCUACCUGGACAGAAACUGACGCUGAGGCGCGAAAGCUAGGGGAGCAAACAGG
Molecule: ribosomal RNA, 253 nt
Filed under: uncultured bacterium
Lineage: Bacteria
Description: partial 16S ribosomal RNA
Rfam family: Bacterial small subunit ribosomal RNA
Source: RNAcentral